This is a long non-coding RNA of Cercocebus atys (sooty mangabey), 6591 nucleotides long. RefSeq lists it as uncharacterized. Lineage: Eukaryota; Metazoa; Chordata; Mammalia; Primates; Cercopithecidae. The record is from RefSeq and is a predicted model, not a curated record. The transcript has 2 exons.
GAGGAACAAGAAUCACUUGAACCUGGGAGGUGGAGAUUGCAGUGUGCAGAGAUCACUCAUUUUUUGGUUGCAGAGAUUGUGCCACUGCACUCCAGCCUGGGUGACAGUGCAAGACUCCGUCUAAAAAAAAAAAAAAAAAAGAAAGAAAGAAAGAUUUAAACUCUGUGUUACCUAAAGAAUAUCAAAAUUUUGUGUCUGUGCUAAUUGAUGUUGGUUUGUUAGAGCUUUUAACUAUUGAGGUUGAAGCUUGGGCUUCACUCUUCCUCCUGGCCAAUUAAUAGCCUGGUUAUGUGGCUGAGGAUUUCACUGAGUCCUGCCAGUCACCUUGAAAAUGCCCAUGAAGGGUUAACAAAAGGGAAGGCAGGGAAUUACAGUAUGCCAAUCAAUUUCAUCCCUGUGCUUCCUGGGUUGUUUGUGUUUUCAUAGUUUCAGUGUGAAUAUAACUUGGAUUUUAGCUGAGAAGUAGCUUGACACAGAUUAAAGUGUCAUUUUCUUUAUUUCCCUCAGCUUUGAGAGAAUUUGUUACCCCAGUAUUGGACAUUCCAGAAUUAUGUUUACUCACAAGUUAGACUGUGUACCUUCUGUUACACUGGUUGCUUGUGGGAGAAGGAUCCGUUUCCUCUUUAUCUCCAUAAACCCAAUUCUAUUAGUGUCAGUUAUUGUUGUGAAGCUUAAGUGAAAGUCGAUUACACAAAAUCACCAAGUCAAAAUAAAGGACUUUUCUAGGAACAAAUUACAUCAGUAGAUAACGUAACUUAAAUUAUAAUAUACUAGUGAAUAAUUUUUUAUCACUGAGUACUUUACUGUCUGUAGAAUAUAGUAUAAUCAGACAGCGUAAACUGUUAUUUCCUAUCCUGGGCAUAUUAUUCUGUAUCUUUUAUCUCUUACACUAAUCAAAGAAUAUUAAAAGGAACUCAGAAUGAAUAAGCACACAAAAAAUGAGAAAUAUAAGCGUAACUCUUUUAGUCUGUAAAAUGUCAGUAGUUAAAUAGUAGUUGUGAAGUGCCCGUUUUUACAAAUUAUGAAUAUUCAAAGGAUACAAAAACAUUUUUAAAUCAAAGCAAAAUAUAUAGAUUAUUUCUCAUGUGAAAUGCUUGGGAACAGAAAUGUUUUGGGUUUUAGAGUAUCUGCAUUAUUCUUACUGGUCAAAUAUCCCAAAUCCAAAAACUGAAAUGCUCCAAUGAGCAUGUCCUUUGGACGUUAAGUCAGCACUCAAAAAGUUCGGAUUUUGGAACGAGAAACAUUUAUUCAUGAAGGAAUGAGUAAACACGGUACUUCCUAGUUGAAGCAGAGGAGUUCUGAGGUAUGUACCCAAGUUUGAAUUCUUCAGUAUCUUAUCUGUCAUAUAUUGUUGGUAGCUGGCAAUAUUGAUCCCUUUUUUGGAGCUGUUCUCCCAAUUGAACUUUUAGAAGCAAAUGAUGAAAUCAUCCUUGCACUUUUUGAACAUAUCCUAUUAAUUAUACUGUCGUUCUAAAUAUUUACAAUGUAUUCUUUCAAAUAUUUGUAGAUACAAUAGAAAGCAUUUCUCUAUGACAUGCUUUACUGAAGUGACAUUAGAUAUUCCCCUGUUUACACACAUUCAUGUGGUUAAUGACUCACGUUACCUGUUAAGGUUUCCUGUUUCCUGAUUUAAAGAUAUUUAAAGGCCUCAGUACUGAAAUGUUUAUUUUUUACCUCUGGAUCUUCUGCUUCAUAUGGUAACAUAUAAACAGGCUAAAUACUUAUUUUAACACUACCAGACCCACUUUUUACCUUUAUUAUGAAGCUAAGGUUUGGUCAGCUGAGGGCAAGUUGUAUGCAUAACAUACCUGGCAGUAUAGUCAGUGAACUGUCACAGAGAAGGGAGUCAAAAUAUAAACACUGAGCAUUUCUACAGCAGCUUAGAGCCAGGAUUAACUUGGAUCACCUAGUAUUCUGUUUUUAAUGAAAUUCUCUCCCUUGUAUUUUCAUGUUUGGGAGAGAGUCCAAAGUUAUCUCAUGCUAAUUUAGUUAGGCAGUGCCCUCCGGGGAUGUCACAGGCUUCCCUGACCUCUCCAGAGAGAGAUUCAGUGAAGGGAUGAGGAGAAUUAAACAUUCCUCAGAAAUUGGAAAGCAACAACCCCCAGAGAAUUUGCAGAGAAACUCGCUCCAGACUCGGCUGCCAGAGACUCAAGUCACCUUUUCAGCACUUGCUUAACGUCUCUCUCAGUCCCAUCUGGCUUGACUCAGAGGUCAGUCUGGGGGACUGGGGAGUGGUGGCAGCUCGGAGAAGAAUUCAAGGGAGGGCCACCAAUAGCACGUUCUGCUUUUGUUGCUUGUUUUUAUCUGAAGUACAUUUGAAAAGAUGGACAGGGCAUAGGAUUGAAGUAAUAACUUGAUUUUGCUUGGCUAUCUUUUUUUCCUUUUAACCCAAAAUUUACUUUAGGUGAACUGGUAUUUUCAUUUCCUAAAUAAUGAGUUCCUUGAUUCUUGAUGACUGAAAUUUAAGAGUUGUUGUUGUUUCUAUUAUACAGGACCUCUGUGACUAAUUAUUUUGUAAUUAUAUUAGGUAUUUUACAAAGGAUAUUUUCUCUUACGCAUUUAAUGAAAUUUGGGGGGUGGGGGUUGGAAAAUAUGUUUCCGGUUUUAAAAUCAUAUUCCCUUUGGGGUUUACAUUUCCUAUAUGAAGAAUUUCAGAAAACUAGGAAAACAAGAGUAUUAUUAAAUAUUGAAUCUGUAUUAUAAAGAAAUCUAAGGAGCUGCGUUUUAUAGUUUGUUCAUCGUAUUUUCUACUGAACAGAAUAAAGUUCAGUGUGCCCUACAGGUGUAGUAUGAGAAGAAGCUUUGGGGUUCCCUGCUCGAUUUUACACUGAAGUCAGAUUCACCAGGAAAUAAACAGCCCUUACCAGGUGCUCCUUUAGACCAGAUUGCUGAGCUGGGAGACCUAGCUGACCAGAUCUGACCCGUUGCCAGGCUUUGUUUAGUCCAGUCGGUGUUUCAGCCCACAGUUAACAUUUUAGAGUUGGUUGGGUUUUUUGAAAACAUAACUCAGUUUUUAGCAUGUUCGAUGUGCAGCUCCCCUGUGUAAGCAGAUCUGGUGAGACUGGUUCAACAUCCCCGGGUGGAAACAGUCUGUGGGAAACGGGGCGCUUGCUGGGCCUUCUAGAAGGGGAGAGCGUCUGCACGCUGCCUGCGGUGAGCUUAGCUGGGCUCUGGAGGCACUGGAGUAGCGAGGCCCACCUUAGACUCUCUUCCCAGGCCAUACACAAGAGAGAAAUCACUUUUCAAAGUAAGCGACUUUGUUCAUUAGAUAGUUAUAGCAGAUAUAUAAACACGACACUUAUUUCUUCAUUGGCUCACAUUAGGAUUCUCAAGAUGCUUUUCUCUCUCCAUGGUGGCCUCCAAAGAGACCUGGCCUGGGAGACGGAAGGUGUGGGUUCUAAUGCAGAGCCUUUCCCCAGCACCUGAAACAGCUCAUGCGACUCUUUUCCUAAAGCCCAAAUGAACCUGCCGUCUCAAAAGUUCUGUGAUCUUUGCUCCUGUCUAAUUUCCUGUGACUCAGUGCACAUCAGCUUAAAUAACCUAACUUCUCCUUCCUUCUGUGUCGCACACAAAAAUUAAUCAUGGAAUCAGGCAUCUUGAUGCACUGAGAGUAUUACAUUUAAACAGAUGAGCAGAGAAUCCCUUUGUGAAGAUACGAAUCAUCCUGUACUUCACAUACCCACCCUCCAUUUCGCAUGUGUCGUUUUCGUAUAGUGCAGCCAGUCUGCGCACUGCGAGAGGGGACAUUUGCGGUUGCUGUCUGAAGUAGAGGAGUUAAUGAAGGCACUAGGCAUGUUUCGAAGGACCCAGGUGAAAGCUUUCUUACAUCCUCAGCCCUUUGCUUUAGGGCUGAAGACAGGACGGAGAGAAGAGUCCUGGGCUGAGUCUCGGAAGGACCUUCUCAAGGCCUUUGCGUUUGUUCUGCUGUUUCCUAAACCUUUCUCUACUGUGCCGAAGGAGUUAAAGGGCUCCGAGCCCUAACCGUCCAUCGGGGAGUGUCUCGGGCACCAGAGAGAAUCUGGCACAGGACAUGUUUUCAUGGAACUGCUUAUCAAAACUAAGCUUCUGCCGUUUCAUUUAGACGGGGUAGAUUGGGUGGAAAACUGGCCCCGGGACCAGGAAAUUUGCCUUCUGUUCCUGCUCACCCGCCGCGUGACCCUGUUGCAGCCUCAGGAGCGCUGUGAGGAGCCGUACUGGACACGUAGCAGGCAGGCCUGCGAUGCCCGUGCUGUCUUUCCCCCGCACACCCUCCAGACUGGCAGGGGUGCCUGCCAAGAGGGCGUGCCUCAGCUCCCGUGGAUCGCAGGUGCGGCAGACGGCACUGUUCCCUCCAAGGGAGCCCUACACCUGUGCCCCAGCGUGGAGACAGGGAGCACUCUUCACUCUUAGGAGUAGAUGUUCACUACUUUCGCUAGUGCUCCUAGCAAAGUUUCCAACUGAGCUGCUGAGUAGGAGACAGAUUCGUACACAUGGAGAAACUGGUUCUUCUGCCUUCUAGAUUUCAUGCCACCAUGAUGACUGGGAUGUCCCAUUGUCCCCCCGGGCAAACCUGAAGUCCAUUUUGCUGUUAGAAAUGCUUGAUUUUUUAAAAAUCUGUUUAUUCUAGAGUCAGUCACACACAGGGCAAUCUAUGUGAAAUAAAAGAAAAAAAGGAAGGAGCAGUUGUGUAAUUGCCGUACCGUCAAUCAUGUUCAUUCUCACACUGACCGUGGCUUUUAAUGUCUGUCCACCUGCAAUCUGCAGCCUCCCUAGAAAGUAAGGGCAGCACCCUGGAGGUGGGGGACUUACCACUUGCCGGUAGGUUUACUCUCGGGGAGACACUGGGGUUUUAUCUCCAUGCCCUUGGAGAAUUGAGUUACUGAAUACUUCCCUUAAAGACCUAAGUCACUGCAGCCCAUUUGCAUAGUCCUCUCACUGAAGUCAGAACUGAAUUUGUUCUUCUUCAUUUUUGGUUAAGAAGAUACACAUUUUAGGGGACAGCUCAGAGCAAUGCGGCUGACCUAGUGGGAAAAGACACUUUGGUUUCUUGUCGUGUUUCUGGGUGACCCAUGGCCCGCAUCUGCCAGCAUCUUCACCUUGGUUUCUUGUCGCGUUUCUGGGUAACCCAUGGCCCGCAUCUGCCAGCAUCUUCGAACGUGUCUGCAGCACCAGUCAGCCUCACCCACCCUGUCUUUCCCUUUGCAAUCUUAGAAAGGAUUUAGUAGAAAUGGGAACUAAAGAUUGAGCAGAAAGUAUAAUUACCACAUGUAUUUACCAGCUCCUUUUCAAGAGCAGUAAAAGUAUUCUAAAUAUUCUGCUUGUACAUACACUGGCACUCUAAAACUACCAGCUUUGUAAAACAUAGUUUUGAUUUUUGGAGCAAAUGUUCAAUUGCUGUUCUUUGACAUUAUUGAUUUAUAAACAAAAUGAUCAGCAUUCCCUGAUAUCUCGAAGCAAAGAAAUUAGGGGAACACAUUUAAAAUGUAUCAGUUUGAAACCUUCUAAAUGCUCUUACCUAAAUCAUAACCACAAGACACUGAAAAUAUCAAGGUCUAUAAAAAAUGAACAGGGACGUGAAUGUGUUGGGCCUGGUAUGCUUUAUUUUGAAGACCCAGCGUGUUUCUCAUCUUCCCAAGGAAGAUUCAAAUCAUGAAGUUAACAUCUGCCUUUUCAUAAACACCACCCUCAGAGUGCUCUUUCUCUUAAGGUUGGAGGCUGAAAGAAAGAAGCACAAAUCUUCCCUGGGCCAAGAGUUUCAUCAUAAGCCCUGUGUGAUCAAUAAGUACAUUGUGGUGGUUAUUUCAUAGCUGAUUAACUUAUAUGUCUACAAGCCAACACUUGACUUGAAAGGCUGGUCGGGUUGCUCGCUGUGUGAGCAUGGCCUUUACCGGCCUGCCCUGGCAGCCAGCUCUGGGACUGCUCACUCCUGACCGCAACCUGGGUACAGCCCCUGAAGUUUCGUCGUGAGUAACCCGUCAGCAGGAGCCCAUGCUUCUCUGAAAGGGCAUUUUGUCUUUUUUGGCAGUACCAAAUGGCAAGAUAAUUAGUGUGAGAGAGAGAGAAAAAACAGAAUUGAAAACCACAUCCGAUACCUGGUUAUGGACUCUUCAACUUUGUGCGGCAGAAAAUGUGGUGGUUUAUUUUCCUUAAUAAAUGCAGAUGGUUAUAAGCAAUUGAGCAUUUAAUGAUGAGAUGAUGCUGAAAGGCAUAACUUAAUAAAAAUUGCCUCUGUGUUUCUCACUUCAUUGUUGAAACAUACUGUGCUUCUCGGCUUUUUCUGUAAUCAGGUUUUUAUCAGAUUGUCCUUUAAUUCAUGUCAGGAUCUUACAUCUUAGUACUUCCUCUUCGAGUUUUUGUAUUCCUCCUUGCAAACUCUUUCAUUUUUAGGGAAAGGGGUUCCUAUAGUUUUUUUAGUCUCUAGUGUUGUUUUUAAUUUCACCAAUUAUGGAGUAAAUAAAUCACUGUGUACUUAGAAGAAAACUUGGCAGGAGAGCAGAAUAUGUUAAGGACUCUUGCUUUUCAUUGUGAGCGAGAUUUCCCAACUGGAGCGUCUCUGUUUUAUUUUGCCUCUGGCUAACAUCUGAAGAUCAGUAAUAAAGCCCUAUGCAAAUA